UGGCAGUGCCGUACUAGCUGGCUGU
This 25-nucleotide microRNA is filed under the name Gekko japonicus. RNAcentral describes it as "Gja-Mir-34-P3a_5p (mature (guide))". Lineage: Eukaryota; Metazoa; Chordata; Lepidosauria; Squamata; Gekkonidae. The record is from RNAcentral.